CUACAGAGGGUGCGAGCGUUAAUCGGAAUUACUGGGCGUAAAGCGCGCGUAGGCGGUCUAUUAAGUCAGAUGUGAAAUCCCAGGGCUCAACCUUGGAACUGCAUCUGAUACUGGUAGACUAGAGUUUUGGAGAGGGAAGUAGAAUUUCAGGUGUAGCGGUGAAAUGCAUAGAGAUCUGAAGGAAUACCAGUGGCGAAGGCGACUUCCUGGCCAAAAACUGACGCUGAGGUGCGAAAGCGUGGGUAGCAAACGGGAUUAGAAACCCUAGUAGUCC
RNAcentral lists this ribosomal RNA (274 nucleotides) under uncultured bacterium. RNAcentral describes it as "partial 16S ribosomal RNA". It matches the Rfam family "Bacterial small subunit ribosomal RNA", at positions 523 to 796 of the family's 1533-position model. The record is from RNAcentral.